UACGAAGGGGGCGAGCGUUAUUCGGAAUCACUGGGCGUAAAGCGUGCGUAGGCUGUUCUGCAAGUCAGGAGUGAAAGCCCAAGGCUCAACCUUGGAAGCGCUCUUGAAACUGCAGGACUAGAAUUUGGGAGAGGAUAGCGGAAUUGUCAGUGUAGCAGUGAAAUGCGUAGAUAUUGACAGGAACACCAGUGGCGCAAGCGGCUAUCUGGACCAACAUUGACGCUGAGGCACGAAAGCGUGGGGAUCAAAC
RNAcentral lists this ribosomal RNA (250 nucleotides) under uncultured bacterium. Its description in RNAcentral is "partial 16S ribosomal RNA". It matches the Rfam family "Bacterial small subunit ribosomal RNA", at positions 524 to 773 of the family's 1533-position model. The record is from RNAcentral.